Small nuclear RNA from Sorex fumeus (smoky shrew), 106 nucleotides. The record is from RefSeq and is a predicted model, not a curated record. Lineage: Eukaryota; Metazoa; Chordata; Mammalia; Eulipotyphla; Soricidae.
GUGCUCGCUUCAGCAGCACACGUACUAAACCUGGAAUAGUAUAGAGAAGAUUAGCGUGUUCCCUGCUCAAGGAUGACAUGAAAUUCAUGAAGUGUUCCAUAUUUCA